This is a long non-coding RNA of Astatotilapia calliptera (eastern happy), 559 nucleotides long. The record is from Ensembl. NCBI's taxonomy places the organism in Eukaryota, Metazoa, Chordata, Actinopteri, Cichliformes, Cichlidae.
AGCCGGAGCAGAAAACAUCAGAACUGUUAUCUGUGACUCUGUUCCAAGAUCCAGCACUGAUUCCUGACGCCGUGGGAAGCCAGCACCGAAGUCUGUCGACAGCCCUCUUAGACGAGGAGAGAGCCCCAGGACGUGCAUUCGGGUCUGGGCCGGUGUUUUUAAUCUGGUCCACGGCGGUGGGAUUCAGUCCGAUGAUCUGAACCACCAGUGAGAAGUCGGAGGGGGAGAAACACUAUUUUGGUAUAUAAAACGGCCACAAAGGUUUAAAGAAAUGUGAUAAAAUAGGUUUAAGUUCGCCAAAAGGAACUGUGUUUUGACUAAAAACAAAAAAGGAAAAGGCUAUGAAUAAGAUAGGAAAUAAAUAUGAAAAAUUAAAAAGGUUAAAUUUACCCUUCAUUCUAAUUUGUGUUGUACAGUUAUUUCAUUUUUAACCUUAAUUUAUAUUCUAUUCCUUCCUAGUUAAAUUUACCCUUUUUAAUUUUUCAUAUUUAUUUCCUAUCUUAUUCAUAGCCUUUUCCUUUUUUGUUUUCUUUAGGUCACGAGCAGUUGUCCAAGCAUU